RNAcentral lists this ribosomal RNA (253 nucleotides) under uncultured bacterium. Its description in RNAcentral is "partial 16S ribosomal RNA". It matches the Rfam family "Bacterial small subunit ribosomal RNA", at positions 524 to 776 of the family's 1533-position model. The record is from RNAcentral.
UACGUAGGGUGCAAGCGUUAAUCGGAAUUACUGGGCGUAAAGCGUGCGCAGGCGGCUUUGCAAGACAGGUGUGAAAUCCCCGGGCUUAACCUGGGAACUGCAUUUGUGACUGCAUGGCUAGAGUGCGGCAGAGGGGGAUGGAAUUCCGCGUGUAGCAGUGAAAUGCGUAGAUAUGCGGAGGAACACCGAUGGCGAAGGCAAUCCCCUGGGCCUGCACUGACGCUCAUGCACGAAAGCGUGGGGAGCAAACAGG